AUUCUUAGCUGCGUGCCUCGGGUGACGUUGUGCUCAGUAGGGGCAGCGUUGAAAUUACGACUAGUGAUUUGAGAUUUUUUUCUGAAGAUGAUCUGGUUCUGUUGGCUUCAUCAAGGCUUGAUCACCAACGCCCACUGGACCGGUUCGCAGCUGAGUGUGAAGCAGUGAGUAAGAAUCAGCACCUCCAAAUCAGAUACCAUGGUCCUCAGUUAGAAAAGGGUGGCCUGCCCUCUCCGGAUUAACCAUUAUUGUCACCAUGAAAACAGACUCAACAGUGGUACUUGGAUGCGCUGAAAAAAAAACGAGUUUUCUGGGUACUCAAGUGGAAACUAUCACAACGGACAACGGGGAGGAAAGCUGAGUGCCUGGAGAAAACUCACGCAGGCAUGGGGACAACAUGUAAGCUCCACACAGGCGAGGCCGGGAUUUGAACCCCAGUCCUCAGAUCUAACCAAUGUGCUAACCAGUUGCCGCCUAGGAUGCAUUCAUUGGCGACCUUAAAUUGCCCCUAUGUGUAAUUGUGAGUGCGACUGUUGUCUGUCUUUAUGUGCUCUGCGAUUGGCUAGCAACCAGUUCAGGGUAUACAUGAUGAUAGCUGAGAUAGGAUCCAGAACUCCCACAAACCCUGUGAGGAUAAGCAGCGCAGAUGAUGGAUGGAUUAGUAGUA
This is a long non-coding RNA of Syngnathoides biaculeatus (alligator pipefish), 667 nucleotides long. RefSeq lists it as uncharacterized. Lineage: Eukaryota; Metazoa; Chordata; Actinopteri; Syngnathiformes; Syngnathidae. The record is from RefSeq and is a predicted model, not a curated record. The transcript is spliced from 3 exons.